This 619-nucleotide ribosomal RNA is filed under the name Leuconostoc sp. RNAcentral describes it as "bacterial SSU rRNA". It matches the Rfam family "Bacterial small subunit ribosomal RNA", at positions 70 to 675 of the family's 1533-position model. The record is from RNAcentral. Lineage: Bacteria; Bacillati; Bacillota; Bacilli; Lactobacillales; Lactobacillaceae.
CGAGAGGUGCUUGCACCUUUCAAGCGAGUGGCGAACGGGUGAGUAACACGUGGAUAACCUGCCUCAAGGCUGGGGAUAACAUUUGGAAACAGAUGCUAAUACCGAAUAAAACUUAGUAUCGCAUGAUAUCAAGUUAAAAGGCGCUACGGCGUCACCUAGAGAUGGAUCCGCGGUGCAUUAGUUAGUUGGUGGGGUAAAGGCUUACCAAGACGAUGAUGCAUAGCCGAGUUGAGAGACUGAUCGGCCACAUUGGGACUGAGACACGGCCCAAACUCCUACGGGAGGCUGCAGUAGGGAAUCUUCCACAAUGGGCGCAAGCCUGAUGGAGCAACGCCGCGUGUGUGAUGAAGGCUUUCGGGUCGUAAAGCACUGUUGUAUGGGAAGAAAUGCUAAAAUAGGGAAUGAUUUUAGUUUGACGGUACCAUACCAGAAAGGGACGGCUAAAUACGUGCCAGCAGCCGCGGUAAUACGUAUGUCCCGAGCGUUAUCCGGAUUUAUUGGGCGUAAAGCGAGCGCAGACGGUUGAUUAAGUCUGAUGUGAAAGCCCGGAGCUCAACUCCGGAAUGGCAUUGGAAACUGGUUAACUUGAGUGUUGUAGAGGUAAGUGGAACUCCAUGUG